GAUGAACGCUGGCGGCGUGCCUAAUACAUGCAAGUCGAGCGAACAGACGAGGAGCUUGCUCCUCUGACGUUAGCGGCGGACGGGUGAGUAACACGUGGAUAACCUACCUAUAAGACUGGGAUAACUUCGGGAAACCGGAGCUAAUACCGGAUAAUAUAUUGAACCGCAUGGUUCAAUAGUGAAAGACGGUUUUGCUGUCACUUAUAGAUGGAUCCGCGCCGCAUUAGCUAGUUGGUAAGGUAACGGCUUACCAAGGCAACGAUGCGUAGCCGACCUGAGAGGGUGGUCGGCCACAGUGGAACUGAGCCCGGGCCCAGACUCCGCGGGGGGGGGACGGAGGGAAAUUUUCCGGAAAGGGCGAAGGCCUGCGGGAGCAGCGCGGGGGGGGGAAUAAGGGUCUCGGGAUCGAAAACUGGUUUUAUGGGGAAAAAAAAAAGGUGAAAGAAACUAUGCACGUCUUGAGGUAACCAAAUAGAAAGGCCAGGGCAAACUCCGGC
This 497-nucleotide ribosomal RNA is filed under the name uncultured bacterium. RNAcentral describes it as "partial 16S ribosomal RNA". It matches the Rfam family "Bacterial small subunit ribosomal RNA", at positions 28 to 508 of the family's 1533-position model. The record is from RNAcentral.